GUCCACGCCCUAAACGAUGCUUACUCGACGUAUGAAGCUAGUCUUUGUGCGUCCAAGGGAAACCGUUAAGUAAGCCACCUGGGGAGUACGACCGCAAGGUUGAAACUCAAAGGAAUUGACGGGGUCGCACAAGCGGUGGAGCAUGUGGUUUAAUUUCGAUGAUACGCGAGGAACCUUACCUGGGCUAGAAUGCGAGUGACAGGCCGCGAAAGCGGUCCUUCCUUCGGGACACAAAGCAAGGUGCUGCAUGGCUGUCGU
This 258-nucleotide ribosomal RNA is filed under the name uncultured bacterium. RNAcentral's name for it is "partial 16S ribosomal RNA". It matches the Rfam family "Bacterial small subunit ribosomal RNA", at positions 793 to 1055 of the family's 1533-position model. The record is from RNAcentral.